ACCUGGCUGGCUUAAUUGGUGGAGCAUGUGACUCUUGAUCUUGGAUUUGUUGGUUCAAGCCCCAUGUUGGGUG
This 73-nucleotide transfer RNA is filed under the name Ailuropoda melanoleuca (giant panda). It matches the Rfam family "tRNA". Rfam says of the family: Transfer RNA (tRNA) molecules are approximately 80 nucleotides in length. Their secondary structure includes four short double-helical elements and three loops (D, anti-codon, and T loops). Lineage: Eukaryota; Metazoa; Chordata; Mammalia; Carnivora; Ursidae. The record is from Rfam by way of RNAcentral.